RNAcentral lists this ribosomal RNA (254 nucleotides) under uncultured bacterium. Its description in RNAcentral is "partial 16S ribosomal RNA". It matches the Rfam family "Bacterial small subunit ribosomal RNA", at positions 524 to 776 of the family's 1533-position model. The record is from RNAcentral.
UACGUAGGUGACGAGCGUUGUCCGGAUUUACUGGGCGUAAAGGGCGCGUAGGCGGCCACCGCAAGUCGGUUGUGAAAUCUCCGGGCUUAACCCGGAAAGGUCAAUCGAUACUGCGGGGCUAGAGUGCAGAAGGGGCAACUGGAAUUCUCGGUGUAGCGGUGAAAUGCGUAGAUAUCAAGAGGAACACCUGAGGUGAAGACGGGUUGCUGGGCUGACACUGACGCUGAUGCGCGAAAGCUAGGGGAGCAAACGGG